This 1505-nucleotide ribosomal RNA is filed under the name uncultured bacterium. RNAcentral describes it as "bacterial SSU rRNA". It matches the Rfam family "Bacterial small subunit ribosomal RNA". The record is from RNAcentral.
AGAGUUUGAUCAUGGCUCAGAUUGAACGCUGGCGGCAGGCCUAACACAUGCAAGUCGAGCGGUAGCACAGGAGAGCUUGCUCUCUGGGUGACGAGCGGCGGACGGGUGAGUAAUGUCUGGGAAACUGCCUGAUGGAGGGGGAUAACUACUGGAAACGGUAGCUAAUACCGCAUAAUGUCGCAAGACCAAAGAGGGGGACCUUCGGGCCUCUUGCCAUCAGAUGUGCCCAGAUGGGAUUAGCUAGUAGGUGGGGUAAUGGCUCACCUAGGCGACGAUCCCUAGCUGGUCUGAGAGGAUGACCAGCCACACUGGAACUGAGACACGGUCCAGACUCCUACGGGAGGCAGCAGUGGGGAAUAUUGCACAAUGGGCGCAAGCCUGAUGCAGCCAUGCCGCGUGUGUGAAGAAGGCCUUCGGGUUGUAAAGCACUUUCAGCGAGGAGGAAGGCGUUAAGGUUAAUAACCUUAGCGAUUGACGUUACUCGCAGAAGAAGCACCGGCUAACUCCGUGCCAGCAGCCGCGGUAAUACGGAGGUGCAAGCGUUAAUCGGAAUUACUGGGCGUAAAGCGCACGCAGGCGGUCUGUCAAGUCGGAUGUGAAAUCCCCGGGCUCAACCUGGGAACUGCAUUCGAAACUGGCAGGCUAGAGUCUUGUAGAGGGGGGUAGAAUUCCAGGUGUAGCGGUGAAAUGCGUAGAGAUCUGGAGGAAUACCGGUGGCGAAGGCGGCCCCCUGGACAAAGACUGACGCUCAGGUGCGAAAGCGUGGGGAGCAAACAGGAUUAGAUACCCUGGUAGUCCACGCCGUAAACGAUGUCGACUUGGAGGUUGUUCCCUUGAGGAGUGGCCUCCGGAGCUAACGCGUUAAGUCGACCGCCUGGGGAGUACGGCCGCAAGGUUAAAACUCAAAUGAAUUGACGGGGGCCCGCACAAGCGGUGGAGCAUGUGGUUUAAUUCGAUGCAACGCGAAGAACCUUACCUGGUCUUGACAUCCACAGAACUUAGCAGAGAUGCUUUGGUGCCUUCGGGAACUGUGAGACAGGUGCUGCAUGGCUGUCGUCAGCUCGUGUUGUGAAAUGUUGGGUUAAGUCCCGCAACGAGCGCAACCCUUAUCCUUUGUUGCCAGCGGUUAGGCCGGGAACUCAAAGGAGACUGCCAGUGAUAAACUGGAGGAAGGUGGGGAUGACGUCAAGUCAUCAUGGCCCUUACGACCAGGGCUACACACGUGCUACAAUGGCGCAUACAAAGAGAAGCGAACUCGCGAGAGCAAGCGGACCUCAUAAAGUGCGUCGUAGUCCGGAUUGGAGUCUGCAACUCGACUCCAUGAAGUCGGAAUCGCUAGUAAUCGUAGAUCAGAAUGCUACGGUGAAUACGUUCCCGGGCCUUGUACACACCGCCCGUCACACCAUGGGAGUGGGUUGCAAAAGAAGUAGGUAGCUUAACCUUCGGGAGGGCGCUUACCACUUUGUGAUUCAUGACUGGGGUGAAGUCGUAACAAGGUAACCGUA